RNAcentral lists this long non-coding RNA (669 nucleotides) under Anser brachyrhynchus (Pink-footed goose). RNAcentral's name for it is "lncRNA (ENSABRG00000015900.1)". Lineage: Eukaryota; Metazoa; Chordata; Aves; Anseriformes; Anatidae. The record is from RNAcentral.
UCUGUAUUUUCUAGGCAUUUCUAAAGCUACCAGUGCCAUCUGUACCUUUCAAGGCAGAUAGUACUAAGCAAGCUGAAUGGACAUCACAGACCUGUUCAUGAGUGAUAUCUGUCCACCAAUAUGGGAAGUACCAGCAAAGUGGCUCAGCUGCAUCAUGGGAAGACUGAGAGGAGCAAGGUGCAGUAAAAGAGACAACAGGAAAAUGGUCUCUGUGGUCAUGGAUUUCUCUGCUCCAGUGUGGAAACAAUGAAGAGAUGGGACAGAGGGGUGUGAGAAGAGUUGAACAAAAGUGGGGUGUGGGAGAGAAAAGGUGAGAUGAACUAAGAUAGCAAAUUAAAGGAAAAACUGAGUCAGGGAGAAAUGAAAAAUGUUGGGUAAGGAGGUAUGGAGACAAGAGAAGAAGUAACAUGUAAGAUUGAAACAAAAGAAAAAUGCAAAACACAGAUAAGGAAAUAAGGCUUAAACUGGAGCCUUUCGUAAUUUUAUGUUAGAUUAGCACAACAAACCAUGUAGCUCAGCACAUGACAUCAUGUGGCCACAUGCCAUGCAAAGAUGACUGACAGGUUAAUCAACUGACAUCACGAGAAACACACAUGUAAAAAAAAAUCAUAUUUAAACUGACAGGAUAAUUACUUUCACCGUCCCUCAUGCAGGCCCCUUCAGGCAGGA